RNAcentral lists this ribosomal RNA (358 nucleotides) under uncultured bacterium. RNAcentral's name for it is "partial 16S ribosomal RNA". It matches the Rfam family "Bacterial small subunit ribosomal RNA", at positions 338 to 693 of the family's 1533-position model. The record is from RNAcentral.
CCUACGGGUGGCAGCAGUGAGGAAUAUUGGUCAAUGGGCGCGAGCCUGAACCAGCCAAGUAGCGUGAAGGAUGAAUGUCCUACGGGUGGUAAACUUCUUUUAUAAAGGAAUAAAGUGUGGCACGUGUCCCCUUUUGUAUGUACCUUAUGAAUAAGGAUCGGCUAACUCCGUGCCAGCAGCCGCGGUAAUACGGAGGGUCCGAGCGUUAUCCGGAUUUAUUGGGUUUAAAGGGUGCGUAGGUGGUCUUUUAAGUCAGCGGUGAACGUCUGUGGCUCAACCCUGGAAUUGCCGUUGAAACUGGGGGGCUUGAGUAGGUUAGAGGCAGGCGGAAUGCGUGGUGUAGCGGUGAAAUGCUUAG